AAGUGCCCUUUGGUAUAUAAAGCAACACUUGGGAAUUUCCCGUCCCAUUCCACAUCUGGCAUACUCGUAGACACCUAGAAGAGAGCCAGAGAGAGAGAAAGAAAGAGAGAGAAAGAGAGGGAGAGAGAGAUACAAUGACAACGAUGGAGAAUGGUGGUGAGAUCACGUAAUCGCGACCACAAUCGCGAUCUUGACCCCAAGACCUUUGUUUUUUUUGCUGAAGAAGAUCGCGUGGUAGAAACUUCUCAACGGUUCAACCCUUGAAGAUCGUUGCUUCUUAACGCUAAUAGAGAUGUUCAUGAAGUUUGGGCAUUUUUUUGUGAGCUGAUUGAACAUAUGAAGGCCAACUUUUUGUAUAUUGUAGUAUAGUGCUAAUGUGGUAGUAUACUUGGAUACCACAAAAUGUAAAAAGCAGAUUACCAACAGUUUUUUUUGGCCUUGUCUUGGAUACCACUUUUUUGUAUAGCAAUAUAGGCCAAGAUGGAUUCAGUACUUUUGUGACCCAGUAUUGGAUACAACUUUUUGUAAAGCCCUGUUAUGUAAUUUGGUUGACAGUAAACUUGGAACUAAUGCUUUGGCUGAUAUUUGGAUGAAUGAAAUUUGCAUAUGAUGGGAAGAAGUCUGCAUUUCAUUAACUUUGAGUUGUAUUCCAUGCUUGGAAGUGCACAUGGCCAUGGACAGUUGGAUUACAUGUUUGGACACUUGCACAUGGCAAAGAAGUCUAUGGGAUUGAGCAACACAUGUUUUAGGGGGGAAAAAGGAGAAGAGAAUGCAGAAAUUUGAAGUGAGUUGCUAUUAAUAUUUGUAGCAAAUGUGAAAUAUGAUGGAAAAUGGGUUCCUAUCUUUAAUUUCUCAUGGUGUAUGCUCUGUUUUCCUUUCCUUUCUGUUUCCUGGGUGUUCAAUUUGUGAGAUGGAGUUGGUGUGGGUCAUAUUUACAACAAAGGAGGAUGGGUGAGGGUAGUAAAGGUAUAAUAAAAGUUUGUGUGGGGUGACAUCAUCUUUUCCAUCCAAUUUCCAACUGAAGUUUAACGGAAGGGGGUCCUUUGGUAUUGUCAGCCAAAGGAGGGGAGGGCAGUGAUAUUUCAGAUACCUCAGGGGAGGUAUCUGUCGGUGUCAGAAACCUCAGGGGAGGUCAGUGAAAUUUGCCCUUUUAUAAAUCAUUGUACUAGGGCCCCUCAAACUAACACUUAAACAAGUAAUUAGGUCAAAAAAAAUUCUCACACUUAUUUCACAACACAUGAGAGCCUCCCAAGACGCUCAAUCACAAAUUCGAACACGAUCAAGUGAAUGUCUACACAUGUACUAAUAUGCACAGCUAUAUUCAAAAAAAAUCCAUGACUUGUAAAGUUCAUUUCACAUUAGGAAAAAUAUUUAAUAAAUAAAGUUAGACACGAGUCCCUACAAAAUAAGACUCAUGGAAGUGAUUUUUGAAGUAGUCAAGGUGUGCAUGGAGCUUAAUCAUAGUCCUUCCUCCACAGCUGCCAAAUAAUUGAGACCCGUUGUCGCCAUUGAUGUUCAUGAACACCAUUGAUCGCUGCUAGUCACUCGAUCCACCAUGUUAAGGAUUUUACUCUUAUCAUUUGGAAAAAUGGAAUAGAAUAAUAUUACUCCAUAAAAUCGAGAUUGAAUCAUUUGAUAACCCACGAAGCAUGAAUCCUACAAUUCAUGUAAGUCUGAAUAAAUUUAUUCGAUCUUGUAUAUAGCAUCCAUCUGAAGGAGGUUUGCUUGUGCCGCUCGAGAGUGAACACUCAGCUUGAAAGGACCCCGAGCUAACAGUGUCCAUAGAACAAACACGACACCACAAAAACCAGGGAUAGAUGCAAGAUUAUUUUCUCCUGCUUUCAAUUAGAAAGAGAAGUCCAUUUUUCAGCGCGCACACUAAUUCCUACGAUGGACGUCCCUCUCCAACUACCAGUUCAUUGAUUGGUAGUAUCGUCGAGACAACAAAUUGUAAAAGAAAAUUGCCGAUCGAAAAGGAAAAUAGAUAUAACGAGAAGCCACGCCAUUGAUAAGAGAAAAAAAGAAAGAACAGGCUGGAGGGACAACCCGACCACCAAGCCCACCCGAUCUAAGGUUCAAGGAAAUAUCUGAGAAACAAAUGCCCAAGCCCCCUAAGCUGUUUAAGGCAAGGAUGAGAUUUAUCCUUUAGUCUGACCCCAAGAAGUUACUAUAAUCAACUGUUUCAUUAGAUCAAUAUUAAUCCUGUCCAAAGAACAUUUUAUUUUUUCAUAUCGCUAGAAAAACAGUCUGUACUUGAACAAAUGCAACUGAAAUGACAAAAGUACAGUGUUCCACCAAUUUUCAACUGAAGCAGCUUCCAGUGACUAACAAGUACAACAAAACUUGCCCCAACUGAUUCUUUUCGUCUACUUCAUUUGAGGUUGUCAAGCUGCUUUUCCACUGAUUUUGAUAACACAGGUAACACUUUUUGGAAGGUAAGCAAGCAUUUUGCUUUCGAAAGCACAACUCCAAUAACAGCUGAAUCCCAGGCAUUACAACCGAGAGCACAUCGAAAACUCUUAUGCCAUGUUGCUCUGAAAUCUACAAUCUGCACCUUCUGCUUACCCUUUAAUCCAUCUCACAUAUUGCAAGAAGGGGAAGCCUUUAGCAAUACCACUUUUAUCAACUUUUUGAAAAAAUUAGUCACUUAAUAAACAACUCAACCAUGGCCACUUGCUUAUCAAAAAAAAAAAAAAAAACCUCAACCAUGGCCACCAAUCUAAAGCAAAUUGCAGAAGCUUCGUCGUGUGCAUGGAACUUGUCCUGUGCUUGAACCAUCCUCAGAAACACAUCUCAAAAUAACCGCAAUCGCUGAAUCAAUAAACCUGCUCUAUACAAAGACACAAAAUCUCUGCAUCUGAACGACACCCAAUCCACUGACAAUUUCACACAACCUAUUUUUCUUCAUCUAGUUCAGGUAAUGCAACAUCUUCCCUCAUCAGACCAGCGUAAUUUUCCCCCCCACGGGCCCUAGCCUGUGCAAACAGCUCCAUCACUGCCGGCAACUUCCGUAAUAUCUCUUCAAACUAUCUACCAGAACCCCGCCACCCUGUAGAUCUCAUACAUGCCACACAUACACAGGAGGGACAAGAUCGUCAACUGUUGCCUCCUGCCAGGCAUGUUGCCCGUCCCUCAUCUGAUGCUCGUAUGCUGGGCAUUGCCUCACCCAAUGCCCCUUGGGCCCCACUUGAACCUCAGGACAAUACCCACACGUGUGGACAGCAUAUUUCUCCAUGAGCUAGCUCCUCAUCACAUCUUCUCCCAUGCCGCCAUGCCUCGGACAGUGUGGGUAAUUCUGUACAAACGUGUGCCUUCAUUCAUUUUCCUAAUAGUAUCAGAGAGAGAGAGAGAGAGAGAGAGAGAGAGAGAGUAUUGGCAGGUACACUAGAGCAACAAAAAGAUGAAUUAUUGUCAUUUUUUGGCAUUGGCAACCCAUUUGGCAUGUGCAUUGGAAGUACAGUCAAGCAAAACAAAAGAGAAGACUGAAGUGAUCUGAUACCCUAAAUCAAUUGUCUCAAGUGUCAACCUAACGACCUUAUAAUGAAAGUCAUAAUAAAAUGGUCAAACUUUUAAGAGAAGAUGCAUUUGUUGAUAUUACGUCUGGAAUAUAAGAACGUCAAGAAGACACACCUUGUACGUUAUCAUGAUAAGGGAAAUUUAAAGACUUCUCAUCUUCAUUUAACUUCUGUGUUUUCUCCCAGAAACAUUAUGUUUUGAUCUCAGCACAAGACGAAUCAUCCUUGGGAAACCUCCGCUUGAAAUCUAACAUCCUCCCAGCAACACAAUAAAUAGGGAACUCUUCUUCUUGUUGGGUAUUUGGGAAUGUCCACACCUGCUACACAACUCCAUGAGUGCUGGUAUUCGAUCAACUAGAAGUCGCUCAUUAUGCAAAACAGCUCUCCCCAAUCUGUCAUACAGAUGAGAAGACUCCACGAGAGGCAUAACAUUCUCCACAGCACCUCUUUCCCAACAGUGUUCUUUGUUAGUUGGGCUACCAAUGACGUUGCAUGUUUUUAUCUUAUGUGGAGAAUGACCUACGGCUACAUGAACUUCACCGCACAAGCUGCACAAAAUUCGCCAUUAUAUGCUGUACAAACUGAAAAGAUAGGAGCAUAUCCAGGCAAGAUAAAUUAAUAAUUCACUGCCAGUACACAGUUCUUAAUCAAUACUUUAACUUUCAACAGAGAAUUCAGCUUGUUGACAUCACACUUUCCUCAACUGUGGGUAAAUUUCCAAGAAGAUGGCAAAAGGGGGUAUCUCGGAAAAGAAAAGACAAGUCACAAUCACUCUAAACAACGACCUGUAAAGCUUUGAUGCGGUAUGGAAAAGGUGACCAAGGGUAUUCCAGUAACUUAACUAUCAUUUGGUCUUGGAGGGUAACGAUUGCCCAUGGGUCCACCUGGGAUAUUGGCUACGCAUGGGCUAGAUUCUUAGAAGUGUCUUUUGGGUUCUAGUCAAGUCAAAAUGUCUCUUUAAAUUCUAGUCAAAGUCUUUACGGUCAAUUAGUGAUGUCAUUAAUGUUAAAUGUAGUCGAAAAGUCAAUUAGUUGAUCAAAGAGUCAUAAGUUUUCCCAUGUCAUUAAUGCAGUCAAAGAGUCUAUGUUCAAUUUGUCUUUGGGAGUCUAAAGUUAGUUUGAAGGUUUUUUAUUUUGUGAAGUUCUAGAGUCAAGUGGAAAUGGGUAUAAAUAAGGCUGCAAGCCUUAUGGCAAAUCAUGAUUGAAUGAAUGAAAAUUUAGCUUUAAGGUUUUACGAUUGUGUGAUGCAAUCCCAUUCUUUGGUGUGAUGCGAAAGAGGCCUUAGGUCUGAUGCCUUUGAUAACCUAGGUGUGAGGCCUAGAUCUAUCCUUCCCCAACCCUUUCUCUUCUUCUUCUUACAAAUUACAAUCCACGGAUUACUAUUCACAACUCCAAAAACAUCUUUCUUGAGUUUGAUCAUACUUAGCCCUAUUCCAAAUCUGUCCUACAUCAAGCUUUUCCUUUUUAAUAGAGUUACUGACAAGAAGAUAUGUUUUCAUAUCUAAAAGCAGCUAGGCAUCAUUCUUAUGAGAACAGAUACGGAUAUAAAUGAAGGAUACUAAUACAAACAAAAAUGGCAACAAUUCUUCAUUUUUACAUUCCAAACACACACAUAUCCCUCAAUAUCAGCACAACAAGAAAACACUUUCCGCCUUCUAUAUUUAUGAUUUAGACUUGAGGGUUCCUAAAACUAGAAGAGCUAAAGGCGAACUUGUGUGGAAUCAUAUUACUUUCGUUGUCAUUAUUAGAUCCCCAAUUCAAUUCUUCAAACUUUCCCGUGCUUCAAGUGUGCUUAAGUGAUCAGAUGCACAUUCCACAAGUAUUUUGAGUGUCCGUCAGGAUCUAAAAAGGAGAGAAAAAAAGAGUAAAAGUACUAUGUGUCGUGUGACAAGUCAGUGUCUAUCACCGGCACGGUGCCAUCUAGAAGUGUUUGUGCUUCUUAUGAUCUAUCUUAUCAAUCGAUGUACAUUUGGUUGAAUUAGUUCUUCAUCUUUUAGACAUUCACAACCAAUCACACAUACCAUGCUUAAUCAACUGCAAUAGAAGCAGCUCCAAAGCCAUGGCUCUUGGGUGGCAAUGCCUAGUAGAAUAUGUAAGAAUGGCUAUUACCUGCAUACGUGGAUUGGGACAUUUGCGGCAAUCCUUGAAACACAAGACAAUAACACAGCUCUGGCAGCAAAAACCUCGUGUGCAACUGGGACUAAUCCUUUCCAUUUUCAGGGGGUUUCAGAGAAACUUCUUGGACCACUUUUCUCUCUUGUUUUUCCGAUCUAGCUCUACGCUUAAGUUCGUUAAUACUUGUUACCCAUGGCUUCUGCUCAGACUUCAUAAGCUUCCUUGGCAACCCUAUAUUACUCAACCCAGAUGUGAACAAGGCACAGAGAUGAUCUAACUCCUUUAUGCCAUCUAGAUUCACAACAGAGUUCUGCAUAAUGUUUCUAACUCAGUCUAGCAAACAUGUCUGCUCCCAAGAGUCUGUGCACAACAGUGUAACAAACCAUUGGAAAAGAGUUACUGAAAAGUACUCGAAAGCAAAAUCGGCAUAUGCUGUUCUGAUUUCAAAAGGUCAAAUACUUAAGAGCUCUGAUGGACGUAGAAAGGAUUACUUCCACCACAUGUUACAAUAAUCAUUAUAACACCAAUUUCUGAUAAUAAGAACACAAAAUACUGGUUCUUAUUAUCUUUUGAAGUUCAUAUAUGCUCCAGAGAGAGAAAAUAAAAAUAAAAAACCAAUCAUGUUACACGAGUGCUUUUGCUCUACCUUUUUCAAAUCACCCAAUAACGUCAUUGAAUUUGAUAAUCCAAGAAAAAUCAUAAAUUUUUCAGACAUAGUCAUACAGGAAAAUAAAUUGAGUCACGUAACCACCACCCCCACUCUAAACACACUGCCCACCACGUAACAUGCUAACAGUGCAUCUCAAGAAAUGUCGGAUUCUAUACCAAUUUCAUUCAUUUACUUAAUAACUAAAUCAACAAAAUUUGCAACUCAAGGUACAGGAUUAUAAAAUAUCUGAAAUUAACAAACAUCUGUUACCAAUUAUGAGUAUAUUCUGUAUGAGAAACAGAAAAAGAUUUUGGCUAAUCAAUUGAAAUAAAUUAACAUUAGGAAAUUUUUACAAACCAAUUUUGUACUUCAAAGUUGUUACUUUUUUUGAAUGGGUUUUUUUUUUUUUCUUUCUUUUUUGAGCGGCCUUCAAAGUUGUUACUCGCAUACAAGUUACCGUUACCGAUUAGCUGGUCCAUAUCCAGCACUCCAAUGAUACAGGUAAGACAACAAUGGCUAGGCUCUUUAUGUGACACAUGUUAUCAAACGCUUAGGAUACAGCAGUGUCUUGUAGCUUAAAAUUACUAGCAAAACAAGGAGAGAAACAAACCUGAAGAAAAGAUCCAUUCAAACCAAAUAAAAAUAUAGAAACCACAAAUACACAUCCUACUCAAUCAAAACGUCCAAAAACUUCACACAAAAAAUAAACUGAAACACUUUAGUGGGUUAUGUGAAAGAGAUCAUCGGCAUCCGAAACACGUCGUCUAAAGAUUGUGGUAGCCGGCAUUGAAAUGCUGUCGGCUCGGCCAUUAGAACUUGGUUGUUUCCAGAGACAAAUGCACCAUUUCGAGACGGUGGCGAAAAAGGAUGAAAUACUCCAAAUUACGGCUUAGAUACAGCUCGAAAUCCAUAUACAUAAAUCUACUAAUGC
Long non-coding RNA from Rhododendron vialii, 7209 nucleotides. RefSeq lists it as uncharacterized. NCBI's taxonomy places the organism in Eukaryota, Viridiplantae, Streptophyta, Magnoliopsida, Ericales, Ericaceae. The record is from RefSeq and is a predicted model, not a curated record. The transcript is spliced from 4 exons.